UGAGGAAUAUUGGUCAAUGGGCGAGAGCCUGAACCAGCCAAGUAGCGUGCAGGAUGACGGCCCUAUGGGUUGUAAACUGCUUUUAUAAGGGAAUAAAGUGAGAGUCGUGACUCUUUUUGCAUGUACCUUAUGAAUAAGGACCGGCUAAUUCCGUGCCAGCAGCCGCGGUAAUACGGAAGGUCCGGGCGUUAUCCGGAUUUAUUGGGUUUAAAGGGAGCGUAGGCCGGAGAUUAAGCGUGUUGUGAAAUGUAGACGCUCAACGUCUGCACUGCAGCGCGAACUGGUUUCCUUGAGUACGCACAAAG
Molecule: ribosomal RNA, 305 nt
Filed under: uncultured Prevotella sp.
Lineage: Bacteria; Pseudomonadati; Bacteroidota; Bacteroidia; Bacteroidales; Prevotellaceae
Description: bacterial SSU rRNA
Rfam family: Bacterial small subunit ribosomal RNA
Source: RNAcentral